UUUCUUUUAAAAUUUUAUUUUCAUUUUCAGUAUCUUUCAGACAUGUAUAAUAAAACACAGACUCAAAUAUGACUAACAAUGUACAUAAUUACAUAAAUAGUUUGACUACAUCUAAUAAUAUAUACAUUCAUAAUCUAAAUUUGUGGUUAAUCUGAACAAUAUCAGAACUUAUUUCAUGCUCUAUUGCAGACAAUCUAUACGGCAGAUAAAACAUGUACAAUAGGAUCUGUGGCAACCGAUAGCUAUUAAAAACAAUUGGUUUCAGAUUACAAAGUACACAGGAAAGACUGUCAUGCACAAAAUUUGUUGCAUAAUUUUACAUUGAUUUCUUUUUUUGAUUUUUUUUGUCAAAGUUUUUUUUUUAAAGUUUCAUUUUUAACAAUUAGAAAAAAAAUAGGAAUCAGAUUUUAAAUCAGGUGCAGUAUGUUUAACAACUUAAAUCUAAAAAUAAAAAAAAAUAAAAAUAUCGCUAACAAACACAUUUUCUUCCAAUCUAUCACCAAACAAGCGGGAAAUAUUCUAUUAUACAAGCACUGGUUUUCUGUCAAACUUGAGUCCUAACAUUUUCACAAAUUCAUUAUUUAUAAAAAUACUUCACUUUAAAAUCCUUCUGUAAGCAGAUACAUUACACUCAAAAGAAAAUAUUCCAGUACUUAAAUUUCAAAUUGAUUCCUUUUCUACUGAAAAAAGGGUUCUUUUAGAACAGUCUGUCAAGCUCAAGUUAUAUCCCUUAUGGAAGCAAAAAUUCAUAAGGAUUUGAGAACUUUACAUUUGUACUUCCUGAUUUUUUUCUGAGUAAUUUUGGUUUAAGAUAAAUGAGCUAUGAACUAAGCCUCGAAUAAAAUUGAUAUCAUAAUGACCUCGAAGAAAUAUGGACAAAUCUGAAAUAUUAUAAUAAACACCAACAAAUAUCAAUAAAACCUUCAUAGUAUUAUCAAUAACAAGUGUUAACAGAAAUCUUUCAUGAUUAGAAACAUAAUGUCAACUGAUAAUCAGAGCUAAGACAUGCAAAUGAUACAAAAAUGACUCAUGGCUAAUGUUUGAAUUUUUUUGCAUGCAUUCUCUAUUUUCUUUUGAAGAAACUAUAACGCAACAUUUACAUUGGAUUGAUCCCAAAAACAUGAGAAAGAUAAAAUGGUCAUGGUAUAUUUCUAGAUGUUUAAUAUGUUGUUAGGUCAUUUGUGUGUACCAAAUAUUCCCUUUAUUGCUGAGUUCACACGUAAUUCAAAUUCGAUUCGCAUUAAAUAAUUAGAAUUAGUUUAAUUCACAUUCGAAACAUUUUACAUCCUAACGUCAAUUCUAAUUCGAAUUGCAAAGCGGAUCAAAUUCAGUUUACUGUCCAAAUGAUAUUACCUUUUAAUUCGUAUUAUCAAAAGAGUAUUUCAUUGGAUAAUUCAAAUUUAAAAAAAGAGUGUGUGAAUGCGAUUAGCGAAUUCCAUUCACAUUCAAUUAUAAUUCUAUUGGAAUUAAAUGUAUGUGUGCUCGAUGCAUAAAUCAUACACAUAAAUGCAUUAGGCAAUGUAAGAGUUUUGGAAGUUCAAUAUGAGAUGCUAUGCCGUGUGUAGAAUACAUAAUGCAGUCUUUAAUUGAAAACAAAUUCUAUCAGUUGUAUGGUAAUGUUAUGACAUAAGAGCUUCAUUAAUAAUCCUACUUGAGAAAAAUGAGUUUUGGUGUUUAUUUAAGUGACAAAAAU
RNAcentral lists this long non-coding RNA (1693 nucleotides) under Mytilus galloprovincialis (Mediterranean mussel). The record is from RNAcentral. Lineage: Eukaryota; Metazoa; Mollusca; Bivalvia; Mytilida; Mytilidae.